RNAcentral lists this ribosomal RNA (398 nucleotides) under Priestia megaterium. Its description in RNAcentral is "bacterial SSU rRNA". It matches the Rfam family "Bacterial small subunit ribosomal RNA", at positions 547 to 946 of the family's 1533-position model. The record is from RNAcentral. Lineage: Bacteria; Bacillati; Bacillota; Bacilli; Caryophanales; Bacillaceae.
GAUUAUUGGGCGUAAGCGCGCGCAGGCGGUUUCUUAAGUCUGAUGUGAAAGCCCACGGCUCAACCGUGGAGGGUCAUUGGAAACUGGGGAACUUGAGUGCAGAAGAGAAAAGCGGAAUUCCACGUGUAGCGGUGAAAUGCGUAGAGAUGUGGAGGAACACCAGUGGCGAAGGCGGCUUUUUGGUCUGUAACUGACGCUGAGGCGCGAAAGCGUGGGGAGCAAACAGGAUUAGAUACCCUGGUAGUCCACGCCGUAAACGAUGAGUGCUAAGUGUUAGAGGGUUUCCGCCCUUUAGUGCUGCAGCUAACGCAUUAAGCACUCCGCCUGGGGAGUACGGUCGCAAGACUGAAACUCAAAGGAAUUGACGGGGGCCCGCACAAGCGGUGGAGCAUGUGGUU